Molecule: ribosomal RNA, 501 nt
Filed under: uncultured Desulfobulbus sp.
Lineage: Bacteria; Pseudomonadati; Thermodesulfobacteriota; Desulfobulbia; Desulfobulbales; Desulfobulbaceae
Description: bacterial SSU rRNA
Rfam family: Bacterial small subunit ribosomal RNA
Source: RNAcentral
CCAGCCCGCUCAGAACUCAAAGGAAUUGACGGGGCCGCACAAGCGGUGGAGUAUGUGGUUUAAUUCGAUGCAACGCGAAGAACCUUACCUGGUCUUGACAUCCCGGAGACCCUUAGGAAACUAGGGGGUGCUUCCAUCUGGAAGAAUCUGGAGACAGGUGCUGCAUGGCUGUCGUCAGCUCGUGUCGUGAGAUGUUGGGUUAAGUCCCGCAACGAGCGCAACCCUUGCCUUUAGUUGCCAGCAGUUCGGCUGGGCACUCUAAAGGGACUGCCGGUGUUAAACCGGAGGAAGGUGGGGAUGACGUCAAGUCCUCAUGGCCUUUAUGACCAGGGCUACACACGUACUACAAUGGCCGAUACAAAGGGCAGCGACACUGCGAGGUGAAGCCAAUCCCGUAAAAUCGGUCUCAGUCCGGAUUGGAGUCUGCAACUCGACUCCAUGAAGUUGGAAUCGCUAGUAAUCGUGGAUCAGCAUGCCACGGUGAAUACGUUCCCGGGCCUU